This 73-nucleotide transfer RNA is filed under the name Bifidobacteriaceae bacterium. RNAcentral's name for it is "tRNA-Arg". It matches the Rfam family "tRNA". Rfam says of the family: Transfer RNA (tRNA) molecules are approximately 80 nucleotides in length. The record is from RNAcentral. Lineage: Bacteria; Bacillati; Actinomycetota; Actinomycetes; Bifidobacteriales; Bifidobacteriaceae.
GCGCCUGUAGCCCAAUGGAUAGAGCGUCUGACUACGGAUCAGAAGGUUGGGGGUUCGAGUCCCUCCAGGCGCG